GGGAGGGGGGGGGAAGGGGAGGGGAAACUUGGGGUGGAGGGGGGGGCCUGGGGCGGAAUGGGGUGAGUGGGGCUUCCAAGGGGCGUAAAGGGGGGCUGAAGGGGAGGUGAGGGGUGGAAGGGGAAAGCUGGGGGGUUGUGAGGGACUUCUAUGGGGUAGAAACGGGGUCAGGAAAAAGAGGAAAGGGUAGGGAGGGACUUCUAUGGGGUAGAAACGGGGUCAGGAAAAAGAGGAAAGGGUAGGGAGGUGGGCCUGACAACAAAACAGCGGCUACCAUCUGAGGAGGAAAGCUAAUUUACCAAAUAUAAUUUCGGAAUGCAAGAUAACACAAUAUAAGGCAAUAAUCCUGUCCCACAGCAACUGGAGCGGUCACCUUUUUGGAAGAGAUCGCCGUGGUGGUUGAUCUGUCUUGUAGUUCUUUUACCUGUGCUCACAGUGCAGGAGUGGGUUUUUUAUGCCACUUCUUCACAUUUUCUCCAUGCUGACGCAGGUAAUUCCACAAGGCAAUACGCAACAUAGUCUUACUGUUGUCACUUGCUCGAGCUGGAGCACGUCUUCUCUUCAUAGCUGAGAUACCGGAUGAUGCAGGCUGGGAGGAAACCAAUUUGAUCAGCCCCUCCAGUAGGCUGUUUUGAUAAUCCUGAUCCUCAUCAGCUGUGUCUCAUAUCACCACGGGUUCAUGGGGUUCGUCACGAUGAAGCACAGUAGACAGUUCCUCCAUCACAUCUUCUUGAUUACUCUCUAUUCCAUCCAGUCACUUUCAGUUACUUUCAAAAUGGCUGAAACGUAAGCACGUAGAGGGGUUAAACGUAGCUCAAAGUCACGGAGCUUAGUAAUCAGUUCAUUCAAAAGGGCUCUUCUUGCCCUCUGCCAUACAUUGCUGCUAACGUACCGCCGUACUCACCGGGGGCAGAUCUUGUGAAUAUACACCACAUAUCCGGUGUACACCUGACUCUCUCGGGAUGACGGUCUCGGUUUGGAUUGGAAUUUGAAUGGGGAUCAGAAUUUAG
This 1010-nucleotide long non-coding RNA is filed under the name Gallus gallus (chicken). RNAcentral describes it as "lncRNA (ENSGALG00010026488.1)". The record is from RNAcentral. Lineage: Eukaryota; Metazoa; Chordata; Aves; Galliformes; Phasianidae.